Molecule: ribosomal RNA, 524 nt
Filed under: uncultured bacterium
Lineage: Bacteria
Description: partial 16S ribosomal RNA
Rfam family: Bacterial small subunit ribosomal RNA
Source: RNAcentral
GACGAACGCUGGCGGCGUGCCUAAUACAUGCAGGUCGAGCGCAGGAAACUGACGGAACUCUUCGGAGGGAAGGCAGUGGAAUGAGCGGCGGACGGGUGAGUAACACGUAAGGAACCUGCCUCAAGGAUUGGGAUAACUCCGAGAAAUCGGAGCUAAUACCGGAUAGUUCAUCGGACCGCAUGGUCCGUUGAUGAAAGGCGCUCCGGCGUCACCUUGAGAUGGCCUUGCGGUGCAUUAGCUAGUUGGUGGGGUAACGGCCCACCAAGGCGGCGAUGCAUAGCCGACCUGGGAGGGUGAUCGGCCACACUAGGACUGAGACACGGCCCAGACUCCUACGGGAGGCAGCAGUAGGGAAUCUUCCACAAUGGACGAAAGUCUGAUGGAGCAACGCCGCGUGAGUGAUGAAGGUUUUCGGAUCGUAAAACUCUGUUGUAAGGGAAGAACACGUACGAGAGGGAAUGCUCGUACCUUGACGGUACCUUACGAGAAAGCCACGGCUAACUACGUGCCAGCAGCCGCCGUAA